Molecule: ribosomal RNA, 200 nt
Filed under: uncultured bacterium
Lineage: Bacteria
Description: partial 16S ribosomal RNA
Rfam family: Bacterial small subunit ribosomal RNA
Source: RNAcentral
UACGUAGGGUGCGAGCGUUAAUCGGAAUUACUGGGCGUAAAGCGUGCGCAGGCGGCUUUGCAAGACAGAUGUGAAAUCCCCGGGCUCAACCUGGGAACUGCAUUUGUGACUGUAUAGCUAGAGUACGGUAGAGGGGGAUGGAAUUCCGCGUGUAGCAGUGAAAUGCGUAGAUAUGCGGAGGAACACCAAUGGCGAAGGCA